UCCAUAUGCUCUCUUUCAAUCAUGGUUCAUAUAUCCACCCACCACCGACCCAUGAUGCUCGUGACCAACCUGUCACACACUCCCUCAUCACCAUCUCUGACCUGCCCCCUCCACACGCAAGCAGCAAUCAGAAUUUCCUCACUUGGCCAUCCUUACAACACCAGCUACCUAGAAUCAACACACAAGGACACCACACCGAUUCAAAAAGAAGAGUAACUACCCCUCAACCACAGCCAAUUCCCUGGUCACUGCAUGGAUGGUUAUAAACACCACAUUCGCUUUACAAGUUGUUCUUCGUUCUUUCCUUUUCCC
This is a non-coding RNA of Pelobates cultripes (western spadefoot toad), 312 nucleotides long. The record is from the annotation of a GenBank genome assembly. Lineage: Eukaryota; Metazoa; Chordata; Amphibia; Anura; Pelobatidae.